GACGAACGCUGGCGGCGUGCUUAACACAUGCAAGUCGAACGGUGAAGCUCCAGCUUGCUGGAGUGGAUCAGUGGCGAACGGGUGAGUAACACGUGAGCAACCUGCCCCUGACUCUGGAAUAAGCGCUGGAAACGGCGUCUAAUACUGGAUACGAGAAGGGUCCGCAUGGGCACCUUCUGGAAAGUUUUUCGGUUGGGGAUGGGCUCGCGGCCUAUCAGCUUGUUGGUGAGGUAAUGGCUCACCAAGGCGACGACGGGUAGCCGGCCUGAGAGGGCGACCGGCCACACUGGGACUGAGACACGGCCCAGACUCCUACGGGAGGCAGCAGUGGGGAAUAGUGCACAAUGGGCGAAAGCCUGAUGCAGCGACGCCGCGUGAGGGAUGACGGCCUUCGGGUUGUAAACCUCUUUCAGCAGGGAAGAAGCGAAAGUGACGGUACCUGCAGAAGAAGCACCGGCUAACUACGUG
Molecule: ribosomal RNA, 468 nt
Filed under: uncultured bacterium
Lineage: Bacteria
Description: partial 16S ribosomal RNA
Rfam family: Bacterial small subunit ribosomal RNA
Source: RNAcentral